RNAcentral lists this ribosomal RNA (301 nucleotides) under uncultured bacterium. RNAcentral's name for it is "partial 16S ribosomal RNA". It matches the Rfam family "Bacterial small subunit ribosomal RNA", at positions 509 to 807 of the family's 1533-position model. The record is from RNAcentral.
CAGCAGCCACGGUAAUACGGAGGGGGCUAGCGUUGUUCGGAAUUACUGGGCGUAAAGCGUACGUAGGCGGUUUUGUAAGUUAGAGGUGAAAGCCCGGAGCUCAACUCCGGAAUUGCCUUUAAGACUGCAUCACUUGAACGUCGGAGAGGUGAGUGGAAUUCCGAGUGUAGAGGUGAAAUUCGUAGAUAUUCGGAAGAACACCAGUGGCGAAGGCGGCUCACUGGCUCAUUCUAGACGCUGAGGUGCGAAAGCGUGGGGAGCAAACAGGAUUAGAUACCCGCGUAGUCCCUGUCUCUUAUAC